RNAcentral lists this ribosomal RNA (492 nucleotides) under uncultured bacterium. Its description in RNAcentral is "partial 16S ribosomal RNA". It matches the Rfam family "Bacterial small subunit ribosomal RNA", at positions 29 to 507 of the family's 1533-position model. The record is from RNAcentral.
AGUGAACGCUGGCGGUAGGCCUAACACAUGCAAGUCGAACGGCAGCACAGUAAGAGCUUGCUCUUACGGGUGGCGAGUGGCGGACGGGUGAGGAAUACAUCGGAAUCUACUUUUUCGUGGGGGAUAACGUAGGGAAACUUACGCUAAUACCGCAUACGACCUACGGGUGAAAGCAGGGGAUCUUCGGACCUUGCGCGAUUGAAUGAGCCGAUGUCGGAUUAGCUAGUUGGCGGGGUAAAGGCCCACCAAGGCGACGAUCCGUAGCUGGUCUGAGAGGAUGACCACCCACACUGGAACGGAGACACGCCCCAGCCCCCGCGGGGAGGAACAGGGGGGGAUUAUUGGAAAAGGGGCGCAAGCCGGACCCAGCCAUCCCGCGUGGGGAAAGAAGGCCUUCGGGUGUAACAGCCUUUUUGUGGGAAAAAAAAAGCAGGGGGUAAAUCCCCCCCUUUUCGGAGGUGACCAAAAAAAAAGCCCCCGCCUAACUUGGUC